GACAGAGGGUGCAAACGUUGCUCGGAAUCACUGGGCGUAAAGAGCUCGUAGGCGGUUUGUUGCGUCGGCUGUGAAAUCCCGAGGCUCAACCUCGGGUCUGCAGUCGAUACGAGCAAACUAGAGUGUUGCAGGGGAGACUGGAAUUCCUGGUGUAGCGGUGAAAUGCGCAGAUAUCAGGAGGAACACCGGUGGCGAAGGCGGGUCUCUGGGCAACAACUGACGCUGAGGAGCGAAAGCGUGGGGAGCGAACAGG
Molecule: ribosomal RNA, 253 nt
Filed under: uncultured bacterium
Lineage: Bacteria
Description: partial 16S ribosomal RNA
Rfam family: Bacterial small subunit ribosomal RNA
Source: RNAcentral